Molecule: small nuclear RNA, 106 nt
Filed under: Erinaceus europaeus (western European hedgehog)
Lineage: Eukaryota; Metazoa; Chordata; Mammalia; Eulipotyphla; Erinaceidae
Source: RNAcentral
GUUCUAGCUUAGAUAGUACAUAUACUAAAAUUGGCAUGAUACAGAGAAGAUUAGCAUGGCCUCUGCUCAAGAUUACCCACAGAUUCAUGGAGCAUACCAUAUUUUU